UAGCUCAAUGGUGCAGCACGUGUCUGGUGAGCACAAGGUCCUGAGUUUGAUUCUCAG
This 57-nucleotide transfer RNA is filed under the name Cavia porcellus (domestic guinea pig). It matches the Rfam family "tRNA", at positions 8 to 63 of the family's 71-position model. From Rfam's summary of the family: Transfer RNA (tRNA) molecules are approximately 80 nucleotides in length. Their secondary structure includes four short double-helical elements and three loops (D, anti-codon, and T loops). Further hydrogen bonds mediate the characteristic L-shaped molecular structure. tRNAs have two regions of fundamental functional importance: the anti-codon, which is responsible for specific mRNA codon recognition, and the 3' end, to which the tRNAs corresponding amino acid is attached (by aminoacyl-tRNA synthetases). tRNAs cope with the degeneracy of the genetic code in two manners: having more than one tRNA (with a specific anti-codon) for a particular amino acid; and 'wobble' base-pairing, i.e. permitting non-standard base-pairing at the 3rd anti-codon position. The record is from Rfam by way of RNAcentral. Lineage: Eukaryota; Metazoa; Chordata; Mammalia; Rodentia; Caviidae.